GGUUGUAUAGUGUAGCGGUGAGCACGUGGGAUUUUGACUAAUAACCAAAUAUUCCCGAGUCCUGGGUUCGAACCCCAGUACGACCU
This 86-nucleotide transfer RNA is filed under the name Aureobasidium melanogenum CBS 110374. It matches the Rfam family "tRNA". Rfam says of the family: Transfer RNA (tRNA) molecules are approximately 80 nucleotides in length. Their secondary structure includes four short double-helical elements and three loops (D, anti-codon, and T loops). Further hydrogen bonds mediate the characteristic L-shaped molecular structure. tRNAs have two regions of fundamental functional importance: the anti-codon, which is responsible for specific mRNA codon recognition, and the 3' end, to which the tRNAs corresponding amino acid is attached (by aminoacyl-tRNA synthetases). tRNAs cope with the degeneracy of the genetic code in two manners: having more than one tRNA (with a specific anti-codon) for a particular amino acid; and 'wobble' base-pairing, i.e. permitting non-standard base-pairing at the 3rd anti-codon position. The record is from Rfam by way of RNAcentral. Lineage: Eukaryota; Fungi; Ascomycota; Dothideomycetes; Dothideales; Saccotheciaceae.